Molecule: long non-coding RNA, 1521 nt
Organism: Cyprinus carpio carpio
Lineage: Eukaryota; Metazoa; Chordata; Actinopteri; Cypriniformes; Cyprinidae
Source: Ensembl
CCGGAACUUCCGGUAGCGCCGUAAGAAGGAAAAUCAGGGAAUUCGAUGCACCUGUGCCUAGUUAGGGACAGCGGUUGGUGAUUGGAGGAUACGCUGGACAAGGCAGUACUUAAGGCCAAGUUAUUUCACAGUCUGGGAGCUCUUUCUGGCUGGAAUUGUAUGAUUGUGAAGACAUCGCGAACCUUAAAGGUUGAGAAGUGAACGGAUUAUACGGCGAACUGAGACGACGUGAAAAAGGGGAUUGGAAGCGGCAUUGAUGUGAGUACUAAGAGCCAGUCGAAAGUGCCCUGUAUAUUGACCUGGCGUUGUGUAGAUCUCUCCAGGAGGAGGAGGGCGGCCCUACCCCUAAUAUAGCGUGGUGGGAGAGCCGAAGGAAUACUUAUUGAAGUAGUCACAACGACGACAUCACUAGCUAGGCCGCAUAUUCCAUCGCCAGAUCCGAACCAAGCGAAGUGAAGGAAGACGGGUGUCCUUUUCGUACACUGAGUGUGGUGGGUGAGUCUUCGUGCUGUGAAAACCUAUAAUUUUGACGUGGUGUUGUAUAUUGCUGUGGGCUGCUGUGUAUUGCCGUGUGUCCUGUCAGAUAAACCCCCGCCUUCACGCACUUCGUCGCGGGAGGACAAGGAGACUGCUGGUCCUAGCCUAGUUCAGUACAGUAUAUGUUGUGAGCGUGCUUCAGAUCUCCGGAGAUAGCAUGGUACGCUGUGUCCAGCCCAGAGGUGAAAGCCAUCCAAAGCAGAGUAACUGUGCUUUGUGUCCAAGUUGAUACCUGUGGAGAGGAAAGGAAAGAGAGAGUGAGUAACACAAGGAGAACCAGAGGGAACCUGUACUUACAGUACGCUGUGUCCAGCCCAGAGGUGAAAGCCAUCCAAAGCAGAGUAACUGUGCUUUGUGUCCAAGUUGAUACCUGUGGAGAGGAAAGGAAAGAGAGAGUGAGUAACACAAGGAGAACCAGAGGGAACCUGUACUUACAGUACGCUGUGUUCAGCCCAGAGGUGAGAGCCAUUCAAAGCAAACUAACUGUGCUAUUGUGCCUAAGUUGAUACCUGUGGAGAGAAAAGGAGAGAGAGUGGGUAACACGAGGAGAGACCGAGGAAAACUGUACUUACGCCGCUACCUGUGGAGAAAGAGAAAGCGAGUGAGCACCCAAGGAACGAACUGUGUGAACCAGUACUUACCGUGAGCUGUAUUCAGCGAAGAGGAGGAAGAAGGAGGGCGCUACGGAUACCUAAGACUCAGGCCGGGGCCCGAGUCCCACGCCCCGGAUCCCCGUGGCCCCCUUUCUCCCUGACCUCUUCCCGGCCAUAGCCCAUCUGGAGGGCCGAGUCAGAGUUUAGUUUUAAUUGCCCUUUCCCUAUUCCCCAAGCUAUUUUUAAAUAUUUAAAUAAAGAUUGUUUUAUCAUUUAUUUGUUCUCGUGUUGUUUGGCCAUUGGGUUGGCUUUGGGGACCUCCUCGAGGUGGAAGUUGAGAAGGGGUGUGGCUUAGUCAAAGCAUAGCCAGCCCCUGGGUGUGACAUUUACA